UAAAUAUAAAAUAAAAUAAAUCUUUACGUUUCCUUCAAGGCCAACAUCAAAAGCCUCUUCUUUGAAGGCUUCUCUGACUAAACACUAGCUGUUUCCAGAAUUCUUGUGGCAUCCAAUCUGACUGGAAGAUUUAACAUCAGAUUAUUUGUUGUAAUUAUAAAUGUACAGAUCUUAAUAUUCCAUUAUAUGGUCUGUGCAUAUUAUAGACCCCUGCCCACUGCACUUUGGGGCUUAAAACCUAUUGGUUGGCUAAUUCAGUUAUUAAAGAAUUCAGUAAAUGAGAAUAACACCUUGUCUCUCUUGACUCUUGGUCCAAAUCUCUUGCAAAUAGGCCACACCGUAGUCAUAGAGCAAGAGGACUCAGAUACAGUUUGGUUGGUCCUUUACCUUCAAAAGUUCAAGUGCUGGCUGCCGAGACUUCUCCAACUCAGUGAUCAGGGUCCCAAGCUGGACCACCUCCUCAGAACCCUUGAUGACACGGCUGUUCCUCCUUUUGAGACACUUACUGAUGCAAAGGAGACUGAACAGUGAAGGAUCUCACUCAGAAUCCUGUCCACAAUCUGUCCAGUUUACACCUUACCCCAAAGAGAGGUAGCCUGUUAUACAACGUUCUUCACCUCAUUCUCUCACUUCACAAUAUAUCUUGGAGAUCUUACCAAAAGCACACAGAGACCUCCUGCGUUGUGAUUAGAUUUUCAUUGCAUAAUAUUCCAUUGUUCGUGUGUGUGUGAGUGUUUAGUUAGUCUCAAAUUGAUAGGUGCAUGAAUUUUUCCAAUCUUUUGUUAAGGCAAGCAGUAUUGAAUAAACUUGUACAUAAUAUUUUUGCAUGUGUAUAAUUAUAUCUGUAGAAUGAGUUUCAAAAAAUGAAAUUGAAAGGUUUAAGGCUGUAUUCACAAACAAUUUUGAAAGGUAUUGAUUGCCUAAUUGUCCUCCAAAAGGUUUGUCCCAAACUGGACUCCUAUAACCAAUAAAUCAAAGUGCUUGUUUCUCCAUAGCCUUGUCAACAGAGGGUGUUGCCAAACUUUUAACUUUUUGCCAAUCUGACAGGAAAGACAUGAUAUCUCCUGUAGUUUUUCUUCUUCCUCUGGUAAAAGCAAGGUUAAGUGUUUUUUCAUGUGUUUAAUAACUAUUUUUGUUUCCUUUUCUGAGUUUCUUCACAGUUCCCGAGACAGAAAAAAGGAAAAAGGAUUUCAGCAGACAGAAUUUCAACAACAAUUGUCUGUUAAAAUUCUUUUUACUUUUUCUUUCAGAGAUUGCUAGUCUCUUUCUUCUCAAUUUUAAGGUGCAUUUUAAUUGCUAAAGAGGUCAUUUCUUUGGAUGUGAUAUGCAUGAAAAUAUUUCUAUAAGUUUUUCAUUUGUCUUUUGAUUUUUUAUGAUAUUUUCUGCUACUCGGAACUGCUUUUUAUUUUAUGUAGUUCAGUUUAUUAAUUUUCUGUCCUAUGGCUUUUACGAUUUGGAGUUACAGUUAGAUAGCCCUCCUCCAAAGUUAGAAAGGAAUAUUUCCUUUUUUUCAUUGAAAACUUUGACCCAUUUGGAGUUUAUCAUGCUAUACAGUUGGAAUUGUGCCCAACUUUAAAUAUUAUUUCCCAUGUAGUUAUCCAGUUAUCUCAAAAGCAUUUAUUGAAUGGUCAUCUAUCUUUUCCACUGAUCUGAGAUCCCAUUUUUAUCAUCCACUAAAUUACUGUAUGCUUGGGUCUAUUUCUAGAUUUCCUUUUAUUUUUCAUUGAUCUGUCUGUUUAUGUACCAACAUCACAUUCUUUUCGUUAUUGAGGCUUUAGAAUGUUUUCAUAUUUGGCAAAGCCAGUUUUUCUCAAGCUCCCCUUGUCUGAGGUUUAGUUGGUAUUCUUUCUUUAUUUUUCAUAUGAAUCUUUGAAUCAGUUUAUCUAGUUAAAAAGAACACCUGGCUGGGCACGGUGGCUCACGCCUGUAAUCCCAACACUUUGGGAGGCUGAGGAGGGAGGAACACCUGAGGUCAUGAAUUCGAGACCAGCUUGGUCAACAUGGUGAAACCCCAUCUCUACUAAAAUACAAAAAA
This is a long non-coding RNA of Homo sapiens (human), 2035 nucleotides long. RefSeq annotates it as HLA complex group 17. The transcript has 3 exons. NCBI's taxonomy places the organism in Eukaryota, Metazoa, Chordata, Mammalia, Primates, Hominidae. The record is from RefSeq and is marked validated.